This 95-nucleotide transfer RNA is filed under the name Cordylochernes scorpioides. RNAcentral describes it as "tRNA-Val". Lineage: Eukaryota; Metazoa; Arthropoda; Arachnida; Pseudoscorpiones; Chernetidae. The record is from RNAcentral.
GCCCCGUUAGGUUACUUGCACGGGGUCGGUGGAAGGCUGGUUAAACCAUUUGGUUUACGACCACUACGACCCGGGUUCGAUCCCCGCAUUGGACA